This 253-nucleotide ribosomal RNA is filed under the name uncultured bacterium. RNAcentral's name for it is "partial 16S ribosomal RNA". It matches the Rfam family "Bacterial small subunit ribosomal RNA", at positions 524 to 776 of the family's 1533-position model. The record is from RNAcentral.
UACAGAGGUCCCAAGCGUUGUUCGGAUUCACUGGGCGUAAAGGGUGCGCAGGUGGGUUGGCAAGUUUGAUGUGAAAGCCCCGGACUUAACCCGGGAAUGGCAUUGAAUACUGCUGAUCUGGAGGAUCGGAGGGGGGACUGGAAUUCUUGGUGUAGCAGUGAAAUGCGUAGAUAUCAAGAGGAACACCAGUGGCGAAGGCGAGUCCCUGGACGAUACCUGACACUGAGGCACGAAAGCCAAGGGAGCAAACAGG